This 406-nucleotide ribosomal RNA is filed under the name uncultured bacterium. Its description in RNAcentral is "partial 16S ribosomal RNA". It matches the Rfam family "Bacterial small subunit ribosomal RNA", at positions 30 to 526 of the family's 1533-position model. The record is from RNAcentral.
AUUGAACGCUGGCGGCAGGCCUAACACAUGCAAGUCGAACGAGUGGCGGACGGGUGAGUAAUGUCUGGGAAACUGCCCGAUGGAGGGGGAUAACUACUGGAAACUGUAGCUAAUACCGCCUACCAUCGGAUGUGCCCAGAUUGGAUUAGCUAGUAGGUGGGGUAACGGCUCACCUAGGCGACGAUCCCUAGCUGGGCUGAGAGGAUGACCAGCAACACGGGAAAGUAGACACGGUCCAGACUCCUACGGGAGGAAGCAGUGGGGAAUAUUGCACAAUGGGCGAAAGCCUGAUGCAGCCAUGCCGCGUGUAUGAAGAAGGCCUUCGGGUUGUAAAGUACUUUAAGCGAGGAGGCGUUACUCGCAGAAGAAGCACCGGCUAACUCCGUGCCAGCAGCCGCGGUAAUUC